Molecule: long non-coding RNA, 1861 nt
Filed under: Malus domestica (apple)
Lineage: Eukaryota; Viridiplantae; Streptophyta; Magnoliopsida; Rosales; Rosaceae
Description: long non-coding RNA (MDOM_LNC012157)
Source: RNAcentral
GAGUGUUGGCGCAAGUUGAAGAUUCUCCUACAAAAAUGGCUUAAGCCAUCUUUCACAAAAGUUGUUAAAGCAAUUUGAGGGGGAGUGUUAAUUAGGUUCAUUGAACAAUUUAGCUCAUUAAGUCUUAUACAUAGGUCCAUUGACUUUUCUAUGUUAUGUUCAUUGUAUGAAGAGUAAAUGAUGUGCAUUUGUAUUUCCUAUAUAUUUGUACAUUUGAGGAUGAAUGAAAUUAAGAAAGAAUUAAACACAAAAUUAGCAGUAUUAAUGUAGGAUGUUCCAAUUUUAGAAUAUUGCAAACCUUGUCCACCAUUGACACCAUUGAUGUUGUAUGUGCCUAUGUACUCCUAAGCAUUGGAGAGUUAGCCAAGAUUGUUUGUUAUAUGUGCAUUUGCUCCGGAGUCCAGGAGCCAGCUUGUGGGUGCAAUGGUUGCUUGGGUUACUGUCACGCCCCGGAUCCGGGGUCAAUAGAAAAAAUCUCGAACCCAUAUCCGGCGCACAAGCUAAAAAUAAAAUUAAAUAAAAGGAAAGUGAAACUGGGUGGAAAAAUAUGAAAUUCCUCUUUUAACAAGAAAUCGAUAAUUCUUUACAAGAUUAAAAUAGAUAAAUACAAAAUUCUAUCCUCACACUUAAUCCGAUCUCAUCCCAUCUACCAUUUUUGAUUGUUUAGUUCUUAAACCUGCAUAACAAUAGAGGGGUGAGCUUUAACAACUCAGUAGGAACAUAACCUUAUCACAGUAAAUUGACAAUAUUAAAUUAAGUGUCAGGAAAACAUAAAGCCAAAUAUCAAAUCAUUAUUGAUAUUAAUGCAUGAGUGCAAUAUAACCUCUUCAGCUACCCCCGUUAAUUCAUAUAAUAAAACACACGGACCUGCACGUCCCAUACCAUGCAUUUUACCUCUGCAGAGGUGGUUCGAAUGUUCUAUUAUAGAAACUAAUCCCCAUAUGAUAUCCCAAGUUCAUAAACCCCUUUUGCUAGUCAUCUUAUCUAAUUCAUUGAUCUCCAGCCCAAAUCACGCACAUCGACAAUUCCCGUCGAUAUCCUAUUCUAUUGUGCACAUCGGGCUCGCCUGGAACUGGUUUCACAAUGAAUAUAUUCAACUACACAAAAGAUCAUUUCCAACUACCCUCAUUUCCAUACUUCCAAUCUGAACAUUGAAAUUCCAACCACAUCAAUAUGAAUGAUGCACAAAUGAUGUCAUUUUAUAUUUCACAUAUUUCACUGUAUAUUCUCAACGAAUGGCAUUCCAACAAUAAUUUCAUAACCAAUAACAAGUAAACACUUAACUGAAGCAAUUAGCCAAUUAAACUCAAUCAUAUAAAUCAACCAAAAAGAUCAAGAAUAUUAUAGCACUUCACGAAAUUUAAUAAAUUAAUUUCUGUAAAGGCCUGCCUUAUUUCCCCUACCUGGAUUCCAAAGCUAAAACGAAGAUUCGUGUCACUACUGGAAUAGCUAAGCUCCACAUACUUAUCCACAUCACUACCCAAAUAUCUAAACUCCACGUACUUGAGCAAGCUCCUUGAUCACUCCUAAUGCCAUGAAUUUCUUCAACUACCUUUCUUUUCUAAUCCAUCUCUACACGUACAUACACACACACACACACACACACAUAUAUAAUCUAAGUAAAGUAAACAUGCACAAGCAUGCAGCCUUUCGCAUGUUGUAAAAGAAUUGAGGGGAAAGCUCCUAUUUAUACUAGGAGAAGUCGGCAACUUAAAAGCAUAACACUGGUGGGUGUGGCGGCAACCAAGAUAAGAAUGGUUCGAAGGGUGUCUAAUCCUCAUGCAUGCAAGACAGCUCCUGCUACGAGCUAUAGAUAGUCAGCAACAAUAGAGUGCUCGUGGAGCACCUGGGACCUCUAAAC